This 477-nucleotide ribosomal RNA is filed under the name uncultured anaerobic ammonium-oxidizing bacterium. RNAcentral describes it as "bacterial SSU rRNA". It matches the Rfam family "Bacterial small subunit ribosomal RNA", at positions 365 to 832 of the family's 1533-position model. The record is from RNAcentral.
UUCGCAAUGCCCGAAAGGGUGACGAAGCGACGCCGCGUGAGCGAAGAAGGCCCUAGGGUUGUAAAGCUCUGUCAGGGGUUAAGAAAUGUAGAUAGGUUAAUACCCUGUUUAUUUGACAAAGGCCCCAAAGGAAGCCACGGCUAACUCUGUGCCAGCAGCCGCGGUAAUACAGAGGUGGCAAGCGUUGUUCGGUAUUAUUGGGCGUAAAGAGCACGUAGGUGGUUUUGUAAGUCAGAUGUGAAAGCCUUCUGUUCAAAGGAAGAACGGCAUCUGAAACUACAGAUCUUGAGUGUAGGAGGGGAGAGUGGAACUUCUGGUGGAGCGGUGAAAUGCGUAGAUAUCAGAAGGAACGUCGGCGGCGAAAGCGACUCUCUGGCCUAUUACUGACACUGAGUGUGCGAAAGUUAGGGGAGCAAACGGGAUUAGAUACCCCGGUAGUCCUAACUGUAAACGAUGGGCACUAAGUAGAGGGGUUUU